This 503-nucleotide ribosomal RNA is filed under the name uncultured bacterium. Its description in RNAcentral is "partial 16S ribosomal RNA". It matches the Rfam family "Bacterial small subunit ribosomal RNA", at positions 30 to 523 of the family's 1533-position model. The record is from RNAcentral.
AUUGAACGCUGGCGGCAGGCUUAACACAUGCAAGUCGAGCGGGGUGAUGGUGCUUGCACUAUCACUUAGCGGCGGACGGGUGAGUAAUGCUUAGGAAUCUGCCUAUUAGUGGGGGACAACAUCUCGAAAGGGAUGCUAAUACCGCAUACGUCCUACGGGAGAAAGCAGGGGAUCACUUGUGACCUUGCGCUAAUAGAUGAGCCUAAGUCGGAUUAGCUAGUUGGUGGGGUAAAGGCCUACCAAGGCGACGAUCUGUAGCGGGUCUGAGAGGAUGAUCCGCCACACUGGGACUGAGACACGGCCCAGACUCCUACGGGAGGCAGCAGUGGGGAAUAUUGGACAAUGGGGGGAACCCUGAUCCAGCCAUGCCGCGUGUGUUAAGAAGGCCUUAUGGUUGUAAAGCACUUUAAGCGAGGAGGAGGCUCUUUUGGUUAAUACCCAAGAUGAGUGGACGUUACUCGCAGAAUAAGCACCGGCUACCUCUGUGCCAGCCGCCGCAGUAA